UGAUACGUGCACAUUUGAGGCAUCAACAAUGGCUUUGCCUCUGAGGGACUCGUGUAUGGAUCGAGCGUCAAUACUCAAUACGGAACCCAUCCGAGAUCUAAUAACUCCCUCCAGGAAAAGACAUUAAGCAACACAACUCUUUUAAGCCCAACUAUCCAAAAUUAAACUGAGAGGAUGAUGAGGGUAUCAAACAAUCCGAUUAAAUACAAUCACCAAUACAUAUAUCACGGCAGCACCGACGCAGAACCUGAACCUUGGAAAUCUGUAAAUUUCAACAAAUAUGAAAACUUCAACGAUCUAAAAACUAACAACAAGAAUCGAGUGCCUAUCGAGUCCUCUAGAGAAUAACCUCGACAAAUAAUGUCAAUAAUAGAAAUAAACAGUCCCACAUGGAGUGGAAAGGACCCAAGGUAGUGUGGCGGUGUUGUCACCUACUUGCACAAACUUAAACCUUCCAACACAUAUGAAGUUUAAUUGAAGAGAGAUUUGGAUAUCGUGAAAACACAACAAUCCAAAUCCAAUCUAGAAAUGCAACCCGCCAACCUAGCGAAACUGGAACCACAACAAGCUAAGCAAAUACCUCUUUUAAGAACAAAAGAAGAUAGUUGAGAGAGCAAUCAACAGAAGAAAAAGGUUACAUGAUGUCGCGAAGGAUGGAUCUUGUUGCACCACCGGUCUUGAGACUACAUUAUGACACCUCUGUUUUGGAAGGGGGAAAACGACGAUUUUGGUUUGUCUGAGGUCCAUUUAAACAAAUUUUUCAUCUAAAGUUUACUUUAAAAAAUUCUUUACUAAAAAAAUCAUAGCAAAAAGAUGAUACACUAUAAAAAUCAUGUUUAUAAAAAGC
Molecule: long non-coding RNA, 847 nt
Filed under: Medicago truncatula (barrel medic)
Lineage: Eukaryota; Viridiplantae; Streptophyta; Magnoliopsida; Fabales; Fabaceae
Description: long non-coding RNA (MTRU_LNC002459)
Source: RNAcentral